UUAGGAAUAUUCGUCAAUGGGGGAAACCCUGAACGAGCAAUGCCGCGUGAGUGAUGACGGUCUUAUAGAUUGUAAAGCUCUGUUGCAAGGGAAGAACUGCAGGAAUAGGAAAUGAUUUCUGCUUGACGGUACCUUGCCAGAAAGCUCCGGCUAACUACGUGCCAGCAGCCGCGGUAAUACGUAGGGAGCGAGCGUUAUCCGGAUUUAUUGGGCGUAAAGCGUGUGUAGGCGGCUUGUUAAGUCUAAGAUUAAAGCCCGAGGCUCAACCUCGGUUCGUCUUAGAAACUGGCUCGCUUGAGUAUGGUAGAGGCAAACGGAAUUUCUAGUGUAGCGGUAAAAUGCGUAGAUAUUAGAAGGAACACCAGUGGCGAAGGCGGUUUGCUGGGCCAUUACUGACGCUGAGACACGAAAGCGUGGGGAGCAAAUAGG
This 429-nucleotide ribosomal RNA is filed under the name uncultured bacterium. RNAcentral describes it as "bacterial SSU rRNA". It matches the Rfam family "Bacterial small subunit ribosomal RNA", at positions 355 to 776 of the family's 1533-position model. The record is from RNAcentral.